This 585-nucleotide ribosomal RNA is filed under the name uncultured bacterium. RNAcentral describes it as "bacterial SSU rRNA". It matches the Rfam family "Bacterial small subunit ribosomal RNA", at positions 338 to 916 of the family's 1533-position model. The record is from RNAcentral.
CCUACGGGAGGCAGCAGUGGGGAAUUUUGGACAAUGGGGGCAACCCUGAUCCAGCCAUGCCGCGUGAGUGAAGAAGGCCUUCGGGUUGUAAAGCUCUUUCGGCCGGAACGAAAUCGCGUACGUGAAUAACGUGCGUGGAUGACGGUACUGGAAGAAGAAGCACCGGCUAACUACGUGCCAGCAGCCGCGGUAAUACGUAGGGUGCGAGCGUUAAUCGGAAUUACUGGGCGCAAAGCGUGCGUAGGCGGUUUUGUAAGUCAGAUGUGAAAUCCCCGGGCUUAACCUGGGAACUGCGUUUGAAACUACAGAGCUAGAGUGUGGCAGAGGGGGGUGGAAUUCCACGUGUAGCAGUGAAAUGCGUAGAUAUGUGGAGGAACACCGAUGGCGAAGGCAACCCCCUGGGCCAACACUGACGCUGAGGCACGAAAGCGUGGGGAGCAAACAGGAUUAGAUACCCUGGUAGUCCACGCCCUAAACUAUGUCAACUAGUUGUCGGGAAAGCAAUUUCUUGGUAACGAAGCUAACGCGUGAAGUUGACCGCCUGGGGAGUACGGUCGCAAGAUUAAAACUCAAAGGAAUUGACGG